This 468-nucleotide ribosomal RNA is filed under the name uncultured bacterium. RNAcentral describes it as "partial 16S ribosomal RNA". It matches the Rfam family "Bacterial small subunit ribosomal RNA", at positions 28 to 507 of the family's 1533-position model. The record is from RNAcentral.
GACGAACGCUGGCGGCGUGCUUAACACAUGCAAGUCGAACGGAAAGGCCCUGCUUUUGUGGGGUGCUCGAGUGGCGAACGGGUGAGUAACACGUGAGUAACCUGCCCUUGACUUUGGGAUAACUUCAGGAAACUGGGGCUAAUACCGGAUAGGAGCUCCUGCUGCAUGGUGGGGGUUGGAAAGUUUCGGCGGUUGGGGAUGGACUCGCGGCUUAUCAGCUUGUUGGUGGGGUAGUGGCUUACCAAGGCUUUGACGGGUAGCCGGCCUGAGAGGGUGACCGGCCACAUUGGAACGGGGAUACGGCCCAGACUCCUACGGGAGGCAGCGGUGGGGAAUGUUGCACAAUGGGCGGAAGCCUAAUGCGGCAACGCCGGGUGCGGGGUGACGGCCUUGGGGUUGUAAACCGCUUUCGCCUGUGACGAGGCGUGAGUGACGGUAAUGGGAGAAGAAGCACCGGCUAACUACGUG